Molecule: ribosomal RNA, 182 nt
Filed under: uncultured bacterium
Lineage: Bacteria
Description: partial 16S ribosomal RNA
Rfam family: Bacterial small subunit ribosomal RNA
Source: RNAcentral
UGCAUGAAGUUGGAAUCGCUAGUAAUCGCGGAUCAGCAUGCCGCGGUGAAUACGUUCCCGGGCCUUGUACACACCGCCCGUCACACCAUGAGAGUCGGGAACACCCGAAGUCCGUAGCCUAACCGCAAGGGGGCGCGGCCGAAGGUGGUUCGAUAAUUGGGGUGAAGUCGUAACAAGGUACC